AACGAACGCUGGCGGCAGGCUUAACACAUGCAAGUCGAACGAGAUCUUCGGAUCUAGUGGCAGACGGGUGAGGAACACGUGGGAACAUCCCUUUCAGUUCGGAAUAACGUUGGGAAACUAACGCUAAUACCGGAUACGUCCUUCGGGAGCAAGAUUUAUCGCUGAAAGAUUGGCCCGCGUCUGAUUAGCUAGUUGGUGAGGUAAUGGCUCACCAAGGCUACGAUCAGUAGCUGAUCUGAGAGGAUGAUCAGCCACAUUGGGACUGAGACACGGCCCAAACUCCUACGGGAGGCAGCAGUGGGGAAUAUUGGACAAUGGGCGCAAGCCUGAUCCAGCCAUGCCGCGUGAGUGAUGAAGGCCUUCGGGUUGUAAAGCUCUUUUAUCCGGGAAGAUAAUGACUGUACCGGAAGAAUAAGCCCCGGCAAACUUCGUGCCAGCCGCCGCGGUAA
Molecule: ribosomal RNA, 449 nt
Filed under: uncultured bacterium
Lineage: Bacteria
Description: partial 16S ribosomal RNA
Rfam family: Bacterial small subunit ribosomal RNA
Source: RNAcentral